Molecule: ribosomal RNA, 253 nt
Filed under: uncultured bacterium
Lineage: Bacteria
Description: partial 16S ribosomal RNA
Rfam family: Bacterial small subunit ribosomal RNA
Source: RNAcentral
UACGAAGGGUGCUAGCGUUGUUCGGAAUUACUGGGCGUAAAGCGUACGUAGGCGGCUUGCCAAGUCAGAGGUGAAAGCCUGGAGCUCAACUCCAGAACUGCCUUUGAGACUGGCUCGCUUGAGUAUGGGAGAGGUUGGUGGAAUUCCAAGUGGAGAGGUGAAAUUCGUAGAUAUUUGGAAGAACACCGGUGGCGAAGGCGGCCAACUGGACCAUUACUGACGCUGAGGUACGAAAGCGUGGGGAGCAAACAGG